This 510-nucleotide ribosomal RNA is filed under the name uncultured bacterium. RNAcentral's name for it is "partial 16S ribosomal RNA". It matches the Rfam family "Bacterial small subunit ribosomal RNA", at positions 28 to 507 of the family's 1533-position model. The record is from RNAcentral.
GACGAACGCUGGCGGCGUGCUUAACACAUGCAAGUCGAACGAAGAGCGAUGGAAGCUUGCUUCUAUCAAUCUUAGUGGCGAACGGGUGAGUAACGCGUAAUCAACCUGCCCUUCAGAGGGGGACAACAGUUGGAAACGACUGCUAAUACCGCAUACGAUCUAACCUCGGCAUCGAGGAUAGAUGAAAGGUGGCCUCUACAUGUAAGCUAUCACUGAAGGAGGGGAUUGCGUCUGAUUAGCUAGUUGGAGGGGUAACGGCCCACCAAGGCGAUGAUCAGUAGCCGGUCUGAGAGGAGGAACGGCCACAUUGGGACUGAGACACGGCCCAGACUCCUACGGGAGGCAGCAGUGGGGAAUCUUCCGCAAUGGACGAAAGUCUGACGGAGCAACGCCGCGUGAGUGAUGACGGCCUUCGGGUUGUAAAGCUCUGUUAAUCGGGACGAAAGGCCUUCUUGCGAAUAGUUAGAAGGAUUGACGGUACCGGAAUAGAAAGCCACGGCUAACUACGUG